CCCAGACUCCUACGGGAGGCAGCAGUGGGGGGUAUUGCACAAUGGGGGGAACCCUGAUGCAGCGACGCCGCGUGGGUGAAGGAGCGUUUCGGCGCGUAAAGCCCUCUCGGCAGGGAAGAGGGAGGACGGGACCUGACUAAGAAGCCCCGGCUAACUACGUGCCAGCAGCCGCGGUAAUACGUAGGGGGCAAGCGUUAUCCGGAUUUACUGGGUGUAAAGGGGGCGCAGACGGCAGCGCAAGCCAGGAGUGAAAGCCCGGGGCCCAACCCCGGGACUGCUCUUGGAACUGCGCGGCUGGAGUGCAGGAGGGGCAGGCGGAAUUCCUGGUGUAGCGGUGAAAUGCGUAGAUAUCAGGAGGAACACCGGUGGCGAAGGCGGCCUGCUGGACUGCGACUGACGUUGAGGCCCGAAAGCGUGGGGAGCAAACAGGAUUAGAUACCCCCGUA
RNAcentral lists this ribosomal RNA (446 nucleotides) under uncultured bacterium. Its description in RNAcentral is "partial 16S ribosomal RNA". It matches the Rfam family "Bacterial small subunit ribosomal RNA", at positions 330 to 792 of the family's 1533-position model. The record is from RNAcentral.